Molecule: ribosomal RNA, 500 nt
Filed under: uncultured bacterium
Lineage: Bacteria
Description: partial 16S ribosomal RNA
Rfam family: Bacterial small subunit ribosomal RNA
Source: RNAcentral
AUUGAACGCUGGCGGAAUGCUUUACACAUGCAAGUCGAACGGCAGCACGGACUUCGGUCUGGUGGCGAGUGGCGAACGGGUGAGUAAUACAUCGGAACGUGCCCAGUCGUGGGGGAUAACGUAGCGAAAGCUACGCUAAUACCGCAUACGAUCUAAGGAUGAAAGCGGGGGAUCGCAAGACCUCGCGCGAUUGGAGCGGCCGAUGGCAGAUUAGGUAGUUGGUAGGGUAAAGGCCUACCAAGCCGACGAUCUGUAGCUGGUCUGAGAGGACGACCAGCCACACUGGGACUGAGACACGGCCCAGACUCCUACGGGAGGCAGCAGUGGGGAAUUUUGGACAAUGGACGCAAGUCUGAUCCAGCCAUUCCGCGUGCAGGAUGAAGGCCCUCGGGUUGUAAACUGCUUUCGUACAGAACGAAAAGGCUCUGGUUAAUACCUGGGGCUCAUGACGGUACUGUAAGAAUAAGCACCGGCUAACUACGUGCCAGCCGCCGCAGUAA